AAGAUUUCAGGAAGGCUCACACCAGGAACACCCGCAGGGGUGGUGAGGGAAGCAUGGCUGGGAAGCAUCGCGUUUGGAGCUCCCACAGCACCACGCAUGGGAGACUCGUGCUUACCUAAAGCUUCAGCAUUGCAAACUCCCAUAAUUGGUUGGUAACGUCAAAUUUACAGGAGCAGAUGUGCUUAUAGGUGGUUGCAGUGUGUUUGCUGCUUCCCCAGCAGCUCCUUGAGGACCCUUCAGGCGUGGAGCUGGCAGCACCACACAUCCGUCUCCAUCUGCCUUCAUGCGCUGCAUACAAGUUGGACGUUUCGAGCAGCAAAACCCACUUGGAUCCUGCAGUUAUUUUCACAUAGGGUCCGCUUUCUGCAACUUGUGCUCUCCCAGGUGUGUGUUAUCAGGCAUACCCCACUCCCAUGAAAGCCACUCUGCUAAGUGGAAGCUGCAGCAUGGCAGGCAAUGGGUUCUGGAGGAGGAAAACCAGCUGCAGGUGAUUUCUCUACAGGUGGACCCUGUAAGGAGGGAAGGGGGGGGCUUGGCAAGGCUAUAGAAGCCACUGGGGCUGUCCAGAAGGAAGGAGGUUGUUUUCAACUUCCAAGGCAGUCUAGUGAGCACGGGAGAUGUGACACUGAAGGAUACUUGUGGAUGGUGCAUGCAGCACUCAGGAGACCUCCUUUCCUGUUUCCCUUCCUGGGAAGGCAACGUAUGACCUGAGACAGAGGAACGUGGGUGCCACUUCUGCCUGCACAGAGGUCAGGUGCUUUGCCUGCCAGAUUGAGGCUUUCUCUGCACACAGCAGAGGAAAAAUGUGGGGUGAAACACAGGUUGGUGAAACCUCUUCCCAGCCUGGCUCACACAUCACACACCCACUGCUCCAGCUGUCCCUGUGGCCAGCACCCUCCUGCCUGCACAUCAGCAAGGAGAGCUGUCUGCACUUGUUUCUACCCUGGGAUCCCAAAAUGAGGCCAGAUUUUGCAUCGGUUGAGGUUGCUGAGCUAAAAGGAUGACGCAGAGCCAUUGCCAUGGAGACAGAAAGCCAAGUGUCCCUUGUCUGCCCAGAACAGAUACACUGAAUCCUGCUUCCAUGUCAGCAGAAAGAGAAUUACUGUCUCAGAUUAUAAAUUAAUUAAAUCAGAUUUGGAGUCUCUAGACAGCAUUGCUGCCCUGUAGCAAUACAUUAAAUCAAUGAAACUCUCUAGCCCGUGCUGGAACCUUUGAGUGGGAGAAGGAGCAAUGGGUCUUCCAGCCUUGAGACCUAUGCAAGAGAGCAGAUGGUUUGCCCUCCAGAAAAUGUGACAUAGAGAGACAGGAUGCAACCCAGUGCAUGAAAAUCAUGUGGUAAUGACAGAAGUUGACACCGCUUGGCUUGCGAAUGGAAGAGCCUGCCCACCUGUGUGCUUGGCCAUCCCUGGCUUUCCAGGCAGCCCCACCAUUUGUGUCAGAGAAGAUUUUUUUUUUUUUUUUUUUUUUUUUUUUUGACAAGAUUCUGCACAGCUCUGCAUCUGGCUGAUGGAUUUCCUGCAACCCCGCUGCAUGGAUUGCAUGUCAUCCCCCUGCCCCUGUCCCCAGCACACCCUGAAAAACUGUGGUCAGACACAAGUAUGUGGGGAAGGAUGGCUGAACUUCUCCUGGCUGGGGUAAGGCAGGGCUUGCCCCAUACAGGGCAAGCACUCCUUGCUCGGUGCAGAGUCUGCUUGCUCUGGGCUAAUUACAUGGAGCCAGUGUGGGUCUGAUCCAGCCUGGAAGCUCUUCUCACCUGAAAUGCCUUUGCUGUGGUGUUUUUUACAUGUUGCUAUAAUACCCAGCUCUGUCUUUUUCAUCUUAUCCUCAGAAACCCGCUGUUUUCCCCAGUGUCAUGAGAAGCUCUCCUCUAACAUUCUUGCAGUUAAUAAAAUCAAAGAGAUGCCACUUCCAUUAAGAAAGCAGCAACACACCAGAAGGAAAAUGAGCUGCCAACUGCAGCCCUGCUCGGCAGUGUCCUUCUCACUGCUCUGCCUGUAAAGCCCCAAGCACCCCAGCAGACACUAAGGCCUGCCAAGUCAAUGGGAAAACUUGAUGGAGUAAGACUUUUACCCAAUGCACCUCCUUUUUUUUUUAAUUUUUUUAUUUUUUAAAUGGCAAUAUGAUGGCUGCCUGUCCUGCUAAGGCAGAGACAUGUCAGAAUGUCACUUCUGAGCUACCAAAGCAGAACAGUGUCUAUGUGUUAGCUGGGCUGGGGUUCAGCUCAGGAUGUGUGGCUGGGCCACCUUCACCCUCUGUUGACAUGAUGUCCUCAUGCCUUGUGGGCGCUGUGACACCAUCUGCAGGAGGGUGGAAAAUAGGGGGCUGAGCAUGGCUGUGAGAAAUGGCAACUUUGGGUUUGGUCAGCUGGGGUUAACACUGUCAGUACCUUGGUAAUGCAAAUAUUUGCAAACACAGAUUUUGCCUGUGACAAAAAACCUCCCUAGUUGCAAGCUUGCCAAGGGACUUGGUGCCCUGAAAAGACAGAACCAAAUGAGGCCAAGUGCAAGAUUUAGGUUGCUGGAGAAAAGAAGGUUUGGACAAAACCUUCAAUGGAUCAAACUUCACAGCUAACAGUGUCCAAAGGAAGCAGUGAUAAAAUCAUGGUAAAUGAGGACUCUCUUCAAAGUCACUGCCACUAAGAGUGGCUCUACAGGCAGUUUCUGGAUCCUUCUGCACCGCAGACCUUCUGUGUCAUGGCUGUGGCUCAGCCCAUUACAAAGAAAAUAGAAGAGAUGUAAAAUUCAGAACCAAAGAUCAAAAAUAAAAAAUAAUAAAAAAAAAUCAGAAUCCAGGUUCACGUAGUGCUGAGGUUUAUUUGCCUCUCACCACAGCCUGCAUCUUGUGAGCUCCUGAAAGCAGUGUUCACUGCACAGCUUGGCAAAGCCAGCCACAAGCACAGUGCCCUGCAGCGGUGACCAAACUGGAAAUCAGAUAUCAGGCAGCAUCCCACUUAAACACAGCACACGUGAUCCAUACUUCAGGCUACUUUCCAGUAUCUCCAGAAAGAGAUCUUUUAAUUGAAAGCCUUAAUGUUUCUUGUUAUAUUUAAAAUUAGAGCGGAACAGCAAUAAAAUUGGUCAUGGAAUAGAGACAAGUUUUAAAAGAGAAAAUGAAAUGUAUUUUUCCUUUUUACGUUGGAGCCCCCUUUAGAAACCCAUGCACAUAUAAUACAUCAGUGUAAGGAUUAAUAAUUAAAGGAAUAACAACCUCUUGUCUCUGCGAUGCACACAAGAAAGCAACAAUUCAGGCUGGAGGCUGCACUCUCUGGGGACAUGCUGUUUUUGCUGGCAUUUCACCUCUGCCUGGUGCUCCUUCUUUAUAUAGAGAAGUGCUUUCCUGCAUCCUCUACCAAGGACCAUAUUGCCUAGCAAUUUGCAGCUGAUGGUUCACCUCAGCAUUAACCUGGGAAACUGUAUCUAUGCUUGCCAUCAGGUUGAUUUUGGAGGUGUUCACAGAAAUCGUAAGUUAUUUGGAUAGAUGUGUUUUGGGGUGAAACCCUCCUGCCACCAGCAGGAACCCUCGCAGUGUGGUGGUGCUGCUCCAGCUAACCAGACAGCCUGAGGCUGGUGCAACUCGGAGCUGCGGCUACCCAAGACUUGUGGUAAAGGCUCCAAAACUGCUUUCUCUUGCUUCCCCAGAGCCAGAUGGAUGUCAACAGGCUACUGCGACGAGACGGAGCCUCUCCGUUCCUCAGCGUGGCCCCGGGCCAAGCAGACGCCCGAGCGCGCCGCUCUGCAGAGCUGCCCUGCGGCGCCAUCCAGCACGCGCCCUCGCCAUGCUCAGGAGCACCUCAUCGGGUGCUGAAGGCUCAGCCCCCAGGGUGUUGGCAUGAUUUGAAGCUCAGGUCCAUCUCUGACUUGAAUGCAGUUUCACUGACCAGGCCUCAAGCAUGAUUCCCCUCCCUCCCCAUCUUUCCUUCCUCCAUAUUGGUAGUCUCCUCGUUCAUUAAAAAAAAAAAACUACUAAUUAUCUCAGCAGCUUGGAACUGGGUUGCAGCAUGGAAUUAAAACCAGCUUUUCAUUUUGGCAUCCCCAGCCUUGUGUAAUUAAUAAGAAAAGAGAAAGCCAGAACAUGCAGGUCAGCCCUGAGUGUGAGGAGGAGAUCGAUUGGACACAGCCAGCACCAGCCGUGAUGCUCUGAAGCUGGCCUCGGUGAUGGUGGGUUGCAUUUUGGGGCCAAACCAGGAAAAAAGUGGAGGAGAUGAAGUUCUUUCUUUCCUGAUUGUUCCUCUUUGUUUUUUUGUCAUUUGAGCUUAAAAUCUGGACCAAGUUGAGCUCAGUGCAAGCCCUGGUUUUUUUGCCACUCAAAUCUUCUGCACCUCUUUGCUGGGGAAGGAAUGGGAAAGCGAUCUGUCAAGGCUUGACCACGUGUUUCCAUUGUGUGCCAUGCUGGGAAGAUCAGGAUGCUCCAAGAGAGUGGACUGUUGGAGAUGGAUGCUUUGAUGGAGAUCUGGAAGACCCCUGAAGGAACCCAAUGGUUAGGAAGUUAAAGGUGGGAUCAAUACCACUUGCGCUCCCACCGGUGGCAGAUCCUCUUCUGGCCACCUUGGCACAAGCAAGCAGUCACCAUGUCCAAAUGGGAAUGCUCCUGAUGGCCAUGCAACGCUGGGGUGAUGCAGCCCUUCCCUGUGGCCACCCAGUGUGGGAGGGCAGAGCCUUUGGGCACCAACACUGGCAUCCAGGAGAGGCGGCAGCACUAGGACAGAGGGGACAAGACCCUCCUCCCGCCUUGCCAGAGCUGCCAGGAGCUUGUAGAAAGCAAACUUUCCUCCCUCCGUCUCGCCACGCUGCCAAUAGCAUCUCUGCUCGCGAGGGCCGUGCCUGCUCUCCAAAGAACUGAUUUACAAUUUGUUGCUGCUGUCACCGAGGAACUCCUGCUGCUGCUUACUACAGGCUUGCUGGAUUGCCAGGAUGGUCCCGAUGGCAGCCGAAUUGCUGCUGGAGCUGGCAGGCCGGAGCAGGAGAGCAUCGCUCCUGGGGAGCAACAACACCAAAUUGGGGUUCUAGCCCUUUAAAUCCGACCCGGUACUGGAAAAAAAAAAAAAAAAAAAAAAGAGCGAAGAGGCAAGCAGGAGAGAGCCUUCAGACUCUUUUAAUUAACGCUUGUUCUCUAUUCUGUCUUCCCAAGUAGCGGUAGGCACUCUCGCUUCUUCCGGACGACCUCGGGGCUCGCCAGCACCGCGGCAUGGCCAGGGGCAGCCGCUCACCUGGGACCGGCGGCAGCAGAGUCGCACUGCUGGCUUCGCUCUCCCCAUGAUGAGCUCGGGCACCUCCGUGAACCUGCCGCCGCGUCUGCCUGAUGGGGCUGAUCGAAGAGCGUGGAGAGGGGCAGCCCAAGCAUGAAGGUGGCCGAGGGGACGAGUCACCCGGGGAGACAGAGGAGCUGCAGCAGAGGAGCAGGCAACCAGAGUUUCCU
Molecule: long non-coding RNA, 5415 nt
Organism: Oxyura jamaicensis (ruddy duck)
Lineage: Eukaryota; Metazoa; Chordata; Aves; Anseriformes; Anatidae
Exons: 5
Source: RefSeq, a predicted model, not a curated record